RNAcentral lists this ribosomal RNA (135 nucleotides) under Micavibrio aeruginosavorus. RNAcentral describes it as "partial 16S ribosomal RNA". It matches the Rfam family "Bacterial small subunit ribosomal RNA", at positions 1 to 147 of the family's 1533-position model. The record is from RNAcentral. Lineage: Bacteria; Pseudomonadati; Bdellovibrionota; Bdellovibrionia; Bdellovibrionales; Pseudobdellovibrionaceae.
UCAAACUUGAGAGUUUGAUCCUGGCUCAGAACGAACGCUGGCGGCAGGCCUAAAACAUGCAAGUCGAACGAACCUUCGGGUUAGUGGCGCACGGGUGAGUCACACGUGGGAACGUACCCUUUGGUGCGGAACAAC